UACGGGGGAUGCAAGCGUUAUCCGGAAUCAUUGGGCGUAAAGCGCCUGUAGGUUGUUUAUUAAGUCCGUUGUUAAAGACUAGGGCUUAACUCUAGAAAAGCAAUGGAAACUAGUAAGCUAGAGUAUGGCAGGGGUAGAGGGAAUUUCUAGUGUAGCGGUGAAAUGCGUAGAUAUUAGAAAGAACACCGGUGGCGAAAGCGCUCUACUGGACCAUUACUGACACUCAGAGGCGAAAGCUAGGGUAGCAAAAGGGAUUAGAUACCCCUGUAGUCCUAGCCGUAAACGAUGGAUACUAGAUGUUGUGCAUAACGUACAGUAUCGUAGCUAACGCGUUAAGUAUCCCGCCUGGGGAGUACGCACGCAAGUGUG
Molecule: ribosomal RNA, 369 nt
Filed under: uncultured phototrophic eukaryote
Lineage: Eukaryota
Description: SSU rRNA
Rfam family: Bacterial small subunit ribosomal RNA
Source: RNAcentral